AAUAUUAAGUUCCUGAGCCUUUUUCUUCUGCAUUAUUAUUUUCUUCUUGAUUCUUUUUUGGGGAGGCUGAGGGAGAAGAGGAAAACUUGAUCUGGCGGGACUCCCAGCCGUGAACAGCAUGCCAUGCAGGCCCAGCGUCAGAAGUUCCUGAAUCUCGUGGAGUGCAUUCGUCUCCUCUGACAGCAAUACCAGAGGCUUGCUAGGUCCUUUCCCCACAUGGAAACAAAGACUCUCAACCUCUGCUAGCCAGAGCCCAGAAAGCACCCCUCCCUGCCUUCCGCCCUAUUUUCUGUAGCAGCUUCCCCAACAGGCAGCCCCUGGCCUGCGGGCCUGGACGAAGGGGAGAAUGGGAUCUCUCCAGUGGGGAUCGGUGUGUCAUGGCUCCCUACUAGAACACAAGCUUUCUGAGGGCAGCACCAUUUCUCAUUCAUCCUUUUAGCUUUUACACUUUUAAAUGCCUAAACUGUGGGAAAGGGAAGAUAGACUUUAGGAAGACAAGCCCCGUAAGGGGGAAUGACACACACACACACACAGCCCCGAGAAUCCCAUCCUCCAUUCGUCCAGGCCCGGUCUCCAGGGUCUAUCCCCCCGCCAGACAGCGGCCAACUGUCUGUCCAGACAAUCCAGCCCAGGCCUCCUUGGCCAGACCUAACCACCAGGCCGCUCCCUGCUUGGGCGCCUGGCCUUGCCUUUGAAAACCCAGGAACGCCUCUGCACAGCAGGGAGGCGUAGGGGUGAGACUGAGGGGGGGUGGGCAGACAGACUAAGAAGGCUAGGACUCCACAGCUUUGGCAGCACUGAGGACGCAAGCUUAAGGCACACUGACUGUGACGGCGCGGGCUUCGGGAGGGGUUGUGGGACUGAGCCGGAUGAGAAAGCUGGGGGGAAGAGCAAAGCACUGAGAAAAGGAAGGGCACCAGAGACCCCGUGCACUGCAGGUGAAUAGCUGGGGUCCCAGGGGUCGCGGAGAUGCGCCAGCCUCGUGUUUCGGGGAGGAGGAAAGCGGAGGGACUGGCCCAAGGCCACCCAGGCAGGGAAGAUGCCGGCUGUCCCCCACACUAGACCCCUCGCUGGGGCUCAGCUUUCCACCAGAUUCCCCCCCAGAAACCAAGGAUGUGGCCGCAGCCCCUCCAGACCUGGGUUGUCAGAAGCUCCCUCCCAGCUGGGACAUUCUAUGGCCCGAGAUUCCUCCCCGCUCUAACAUCCUGUGUUCUAAGGUUCCCCCCAGCUCGGACAUCCUGUGUUCUAGGGUGCCCCCCAGCUCGGACAUCCUGUGUUCUAGGGUUCCCCCCAGCUCGGACAUCCUGUGCUCUAAAGUCUCUCCCAGCUCGGACAUUCUGUGCUCUAAGGUCGAUUUCAGCUCAGACAUUCUACAUCCUAAGGUGGCUUCCAGCUCUGCUAUUCUGCGCCCUAAGGACACCCCGAGUUCAGACAUUCGAUGUCCUAAGGUCCCCCCCAACUCGGACAUUCUGUAUCCCAGGGUCACCCCCAGCUCGGCCAUCUUAUGUCCCAAGGUCCUUCCCAACUCAGACAUCCUCCGUCCUAAGGUCCCUCCCAGCCCCAACAUUCUGUGUCCUAAGAUAGCCCCCAAAUGGGACAUUCUGACUCCAAAAGUCACUCCCAAUUCAGACAUCCUCCGUCCUAAGGUCACUCCCAGCUGCGACAUUCUAAGUUCUAAGACCAUUCCCAGCUGCGACAUCCUAUGCCCUAGGGUUCCAUCCAGCUCUGGCAUUCUUCGCCCCAAGAUAGCUCCCAGCUCGGACACUCUGUGUCCAAAGGUGGCUCCCAGCUCGGCCAUCCUGUGUCCUAAAGUGGCUCCCAGCUCGGCCAUUCUGUGCUCUAGGGUCCCUCCCAGCUCGGCCAUUCUGUGUUCUAAGGCCCCGCCCAGCUCGGACAUCCUCUGUUCUAAAGUCACUCCCAGCUUGGACAUCCUCUGUCUCAAGGUCCCUCCCAGCUCCAACAUUCUGCGUUCUAAGGUGGCUCCCAGCUGAGCCAUUCGCCGACCCAGAGUUCCUCCCAAUCCCGACAUCCUCCGUCCCAAGACCCCCUCCAGCUCGGACAUCCGGUGUUCUAAGAGGCCCUCUAGCUCGGACAUCCUGUGUUCUAAGGUGGCUCCCAGCUCCGAGAUCCUGUGUUCUAAGGUCUCUUCCAGCUCCGAUAUCCUGUGUUCUAAGCUCUCUUCCAGCUCGGACAUUCUGUGUUCUAGGGUCCCUCCCAGCUCAGACAUUCUGUGUUCUAGGGUCCCUCCGAGCGCGGACCUUCUGCGCCCUAAGGAGCCUCCCAGCUCGGACAUUCGGUGCCUUAAGGUCCCUCCCAGCUCGGACAUUCUGUGCUCUAGGGUCCCUUCCAGCUCCGACACUUUGUGUUCUAGGGUCCCUUCGAGUUCUGACAUUCUGUGUCCCAAGGUGUCCCCCAGCUCAGACAGGAAGACUUCCAGGGUCCCCCCCAGCUCCGACAUCCUGUGCUCUAGGGUCCCCACGAGCUCGGACAUCCUGUGUUCUAGCGUCCCUUUCAGCUCAGAGAUCCUGCGCUCUAAGGUGUCCCCCAGCUCCGACAUCCUGCGCCUCCAAAGCCCUUCGGUGUUUCCCGGGGAUGUUCUAUGGGGGGGGGGGGUCCCUGAGGCUGGUGUUCUAGGGCCCCCUCCCAGGGAAGCGCCACAUUGUGGGGCCCUCCUGGCUUGGGCGGGGUGUUCUCGGCCCCCCAGCGCCGAGGUGCCGCGUUCUAGAGGCCCCGCCCCCGCGCCGGCAUCGUGGGUCCCCCGGUAACAAGCUGCGUUCUAGGCCGCCAGGGCCGCCGCGUUCUGGGCUCUCCCUCCCAGCCCCCAAGUUCUAGGUUUGAGCUUCUCUUGUCCCAGAGGGAUGGGCCCGGAUUCUAAGCCCCGCCCCCUCCCCCCGCGGGGCGGGCCCGGGUUCUAACCCUCACCCCCGCCGGGGCUGGCGAGGGGCCCCCCCCGGGCCCCGCGGGUGGUUCUGGGUUUGGGGCCUCCCGCGGGGCGGGCCCGGGUUCUAACCCUCCCCCCCGCCGGGGCUGGCGGGACCCCCGGCCCCCGUGGGCGGUUCUGGGUCUGGGGCCUCCCGCGGGGCGGGCCCGGGUUCUAACCCUCCCCCCCGCCGGGGCUGGCGGGACCCCCGGCCCCCGCGGGCGGUUCUGGGUCUGGGGCCUCCCGAGGGGCGGGGCCGGGUUCUAACCCUCCCCCCCGCCGGGGCUGGCGGGCCCCCCGGCCCCCGCGGGCGGUUCUGGGCCUGGGGCCUCCCGCGGGGCGGGUCUGGGGGUCAG
RNAcentral lists this long non-coding RNA (3276 nucleotides) under Sarcophilus harrisii (Tasmanian devil). RNAcentral describes it as "lncRNA (ENSSHAG00000020795.1)". The record is from RNAcentral. Lineage: Eukaryota; Metazoa; Chordata; Mammalia; Dasyuromorphia; Dasyuridae.